GCCGAAGUGAUGGAAUUGGCAGACGUGCUGGACUCAAAAUCCAGUGGUAGCAAUACCGUGCGGGUUCGACCCCCGCCUUCGGCA
Molecule: transfer RNA, 84 nt
Filed under: Eubacterium limosum
Lineage: Bacteria; Bacillati; Bacillota; Clostridia; Eubacteriales; Eubacteriaceae
Also listed under: 1 other name
Description: tRNA-Leu
Rfam family: tRNA
About the family: Transfer RNA (tRNA) molecules are approximately 80 nucleotides in length. Their secondary structure includes four short double-helical elements and three loops (D, anti-codon, and T loops).
Source: RNAcentral